CGGAGGGUAGGUUGUUUACCCGGAGAAGUACCGUGGGGGUGGAGACAGAUGGAUUCUGUGAACUGUAAUUGCUCUGCCCGUGUCUGGGUGAAUAAAGCCAAGGUGGCCAGUGGCUUGCGGCUCUAUAUCGAAGGGAGACGUGAGCUCUCGGGCCUCCCAGAUUUUAAACCUGUUUGUGUGUGGCUAUUUGUUCAUCCUCCACACCCCUCGGUUAGAUUUGAGCUCGGAGGCUGGUCCUACAUGAGUCUAGGGUCUAGUUACAUGAUUUCAGCCUACUGUAAAACCACAUUCUAUCUUUCCUAAAAUCAGGGGAGGGUAUAUUAAAGCCUUGUUUAAAGUGACCUCUAGUUGAUAAUUUUUGUAAGUGUUUUUCUUUGCAUUAUUUUAAAUAUUGGAAACGUCAGUAAAUUCAUGUUUUUAACGACAGCAGCCACCACACCAUGGUUUUGUGGCCAAGUGUUUAUUGACAGUUUGUCAGGCCUCACUCUGGGUUUCCCUCCCUCCCUCCCUAGCUUGCCAACCAACUGUAACUUGAUCAGUUUGAGAUGGGACUGCCCAGGGUCAUAUGUUAAAUAAGACACGUCCACUUUUCUGAUUACAAAAUCCUCCCUUGCCUGGCCACUUAAAAACUUAGAUAAUCUACAAACACAUAGAUCUAAGGAUUUCUGCUACAUACCUUAGAGGUCACACCUGCAAAUUUGCCUAUUAGCACAAUAUUUCUUUAAUUACAGAUUUUUUUGUUUGUAACUAUAGGCUGUCAGAGCACUUAAAAUUUAUUCUUUAAAACAUGUUCUAUCUUCACAUUAUAGUGAAUUGACUUUUACAGAGAAAACUUUGUCGUUCUACCAUGUUUAUAACUUUUAAUUUUUGCAUUUGAAAAAUGCUUUAGCUGAGGUUACAUUCAGUUACAAGCAAAACUGAAGCCAGGUAGUACACAUAAUGCAUUUAAACAUUUUCCCAAAAACCAAAAGACAUUUAAGAAUAUCUUUGGGUUACAGGCAUGCAGCAUCAGGGGACAACACUGGAUGAUUCAUCCAAUGAAAAUUUGAAUGCUGGUGAAAAAUCUAGGUGAGAUGAAGAAAAGCGAGAUCAGGGAACUUGCAAAAGAAAUGCUGUCAGAAAAUGAAAAAGAAGCUCACUGAAUGCAGGAAACAUACCAGGUUUGAACUCUAAUAUUUAAGGCCUGCUAGAGGCUGGUGACAUAUGACACCAGGACUGGGAAAAAAGCGAGGGUGAAAAGUUUCUAAGCUGAUGAUUAAAUAGAUGUAACUCACUGACGAGUGUGCCCAUGUGGGAUUUUAAUUACUCAGACAUCUGUUUAGCGAAGUGUACUACUAAAUAGGGAUCAAAUACAGAGAUCAGAUUACGCGUGGAGGGGAGUGGAGAUGACAUUCAUGAGUCAGAAAGGAGCUAUCGGCCAGGGGAAAAUCAAUCCCGGCUUUACAUCUCACCAACAGAGAAGCAAUUAUUUUAGAUGUGGGGCUGGUUAGCAUCCUAGGUCAUGAAUGUAAUUAACCCUCGAGUGACAGAAAACAACAAACCACUGUAUUUAACUGUCCGAUGCUACAAAUAAAUGAUUCAAAUUCCUCCUCUAUUCUUUCCCCUCUCCUCCAUAGAUUUACUGUAGUUUUUCUAAAGUUCACAACUUUCUUCCCUUUUCUAAUUUAAACUUUCCUUCCUGGCAGCAUCCAAUCAACUCAUUUAAAUGGAUAGCUUGAACAGAAGCAGGAUUUCUCUCCACAGUUCUCGCAGUGGAAUCCUUGGGGAAAGAGGAAAAGAUUAAGUCAUCAUUUGAGUUUCUUCAGGCUCAACCAAAGGCUAACAAUUCACAGAAAUAUCUUGGAAUCAAAGAGAAGACUCUGGUGCUCUCACUGGCUGUUGUUUGGCACCUUGGAUAGCCAGGGCAGAGACACAAAACGAGAGCAAAGACUGUAGGAAACUUCCCUAAGAGAAGAGGGGAAAGAGAGCAUUUGGUUGCUUUGAAAUGGAUAUGUGGAAACCAGCCUCACUCGGGCAGCCUUUGCAGCCUUCUGCUGAGCUCCAGGCCCCUGCCUGGCAGCCUCUCACAGGUGACGGGCAGAAAGGGGAUUGUCUUUAGAAUCUGCACUGAAGCCACCGCCGCCUCUCCACCACUGAGAUCCAACUGGUUCCCUCUAAAAUGGCUUUUUAAAAUUUGCAAAUACAGAAACAGGCUGGGGAGAACCUAAGCAAAAGUGUACAUUUACUGGAUGAGUACUUGACCAGCUCAUGGAUUCCAAGAAGUUGACCAAGCCUCUCCCCCGAAGAGCAGGCACUGGGCAGUUCCUGGAAGCUGAGCGGCUGAACUCCACUGACCCCUCCAAAGGGCUGCCUUUAAUGACUCGAGUACCAACUCCCGAGGCUCAUCUACGGCCGCCUCACUGUGGAAAUCUAAAAAUUCUUCAGAGAUUCCCAAUGGCCUGCAUGGGCACUACAGUGUGGGCCUUUCCUUUUAAACUGAUCCUCUUUAAAAAUGGUUUCAGGCACUGCUAACCUCAGCUGAGUAGAUGGGGCUGUCGGAACCAGAUUCCGAUGCCCAGUGUAAAGAGUCAAAGUAGCAGCAGUCCCAACAGGGUAAAGUUUAAAAGAACCUAUUCUCUUGGGCAAGAUGCACUUUAAAAGUGUCUCUGCCUAGGGCUGGGGUGUGGCUCUGGUGGACUCACCCAGCUUGUCCAGGGUAGGGGUGGGAGGUUGUCUUCUGGUUUCUGGUGGCCUCAUUCAUUUAGUAAUUACUUCUAAAUAACCUGCUGUGAAUAAACCUAGACCUGUGUCUCGUGUGUGAGCAGUCUUAAGGGAUUCUGAGAGUAACUUUUCAUAUGAACACUGGAUUUUAAGCCCCUUCCCCUUGGAUGAGAAACCUACAGAUUUUGCCUGAGCAACGAGAGCACAUCCUUGUUAAGGUUAAGAUUUCACUGUCUCUGUUCAGAGCCUUCAUUAGGCUACAUCAGAGGACAACUGAGAUGGCUCUGCAAUUAACUGCAGCCAAGCGUCACUUGUUUUUAUAAUGUGACUUGGGUAUAACUGAAAAAUAACUCAUGCCUCUUUUCCUUUCCCUUCUGAACUGGAUAGAUAACUGCACAUAAGUUAACUUUUUAUUUUUGGUACUGGGGAUCAAACUCGGGACCUUGCACUUUCAAGGCAGGCACCAGAACCACUGAGCUAAAUUCCCGGCCCCCACAUAAGUUAAUUUUUUAAAAAAUUCUAGCUAUUUCCUCAAACCUGAGGUAAGAGCAGUUUAGAAGACAUUUAGCAGCCAAGCUCCCCAAGGGAGGCCAGGAACUUCUAACUGACAAGGGCUGCUAAGGCCGCAGAGUCUACCCAGAAUGCAUAUGCAAAGUAUCUGGAAAUUUGGUUUGGGCUUAGAUCUGAGCAAAUCUGAUGUUCUGGUAUGUUUGGAUUCUAAUUUGAAGUAGUUGCCUUAGGUGUUCUUAAAUUUUUUAAUUCAAAUUAAAGCAUUCAUUAAGAUUUAGCAAAUUAAGACUUGGUGUGAGUUGAGAUUUAAUUUGCUUCAUAAGGAUAUAAAGAUGUGAUUCAAAAAUCACAGCAGCCAGGAGGCUGGGUGAGUUGUCCCUUUACCUUGAAGAGGAGAUAUGGAUUGAGGACUAGAGUAUUUUAUUAUAGUUCACCCCUUGUGCUGCUAAAAUGUACUUGCUGCUUAUGAUAAGUUCACACAGUGCCCCACAAUUCCAGAAUUCUUGGGUGUUUGGUUUUUUUUUUUGGUACCGGGGAUUGAACUCGGUUCCUUGUGCUUGCGCAGCAGGCGGCAAAACCACUGAGCUAAAUCCCCAGCCCAAUUCCAGAAUUUUUGAUGCACUUUGUUACUGAGGUCACUUAGAAGGUUAGUGGAAAAACUAGUUGCUGCAGAUACAAUGGCUCUGAAGCCUGAAGUAGCUAAUUCUCCAUCUCCCCUUUCCAGUACUCCAGAAUUGCUUCAACUUCAACCAGCAGCCACGCUCAUGGUCCAGGCAGAUUGCCUACCAUCCCCAAUACAGGUUCUGUUUUUGUGUUUGAUAAUAAAACUAGGCAUGGAGCAUGGAGAGCUAUCCCAGCGGAUCAUCUGUGUGGCAAAUAUGCUGCUUUCUUGCAUUCUGCCACAGAGCCCUGCCUCCUCCUCAUGACCAGGAUCAGUGACCACUACUAGUACUGAGACUGAAGUAACCUAGUGGCAGCUUUGGUGUAAAGGACAGUGGGCCCCUGUGUCUACGGAUAAAGUGUUGUCCUUCUGGGAACCAAGACCACGUGACCCUCAAUGUAAAGUUUUGGCUACAA
This is a non-coding RNA of Heterocephalus glaber (naked mole-rat), 4287 nucleotides long. NCBI's taxonomy places the organism in Eukaryota, Metazoa, Chordata, Mammalia, Rodentia, Bathyergidae. The record is from RefSeq and is a predicted model, not a curated record.